UACGUAGGGCGCAAGCGUUAUCCGGAAUUAUUGGGCGUAAAGGGCUCGUAGGCGGUUUGUCGCGUCGGGAGUGAAAACACCGGGCUUAACUCGGUGCUUGCUUUCGAUACGGGCAGACUGGAGGUAUGCAGGGGAGAACGGAAUUCCUGGUGUAGCGGUGAAAUGCGCAGAUAUCAGGAGGAACACCGGUGGCGAAGGCGGUUCUCUGGGCAUUACCUGACGCUGAGGAGCGAAAGUGUGGGGAGCGAACAGG
RNAcentral lists this ribosomal RNA (253 nucleotides) under uncultured bacterium. Its description in RNAcentral is "partial 16S ribosomal RNA". It matches the Rfam family "Bacterial small subunit ribosomal RNA", at positions 524 to 776 of the family's 1533-position model. The record is from RNAcentral.